Molecule: unclassified non-coding RNA, 23 nt
Filed under: Mus musculus (house mouse)
Lineage: Eukaryota; Metazoa; Chordata; Mammalia; Rodentia; Muridae
Description: oocyte_clustered_small_RNA3922
Source: RNAcentral
UAUCGAGAGGCUGGGCCAGAGUU